AUGCCGUUUCUACCUUCUAAAAAGACAACUGUGUGCCGUUUUGUGCUCCACUUGUUAAAACAACGUGUCGUUUGUGUACGACUAAAAAAUUUAGUCAAAGAAGUCAGAGUUCGUCGUAUCAAAAAAGUUUCCUUCUUUUGGGGCUACUAUUCUUCAAUCUUCAGUUCAGUCUCUCCGACUCCCCAAUUUCCAACACUCACAAGGAUAAUUUACUCGGAUGAAUUCGUCGCUGAUGGCUGCAAGUGGCGUCUUAUGGCCUUCCCUGAAGGAAAUGGUACUGCUGAUGUGUCUGUAGCCAGAGCUCCUCUCUCGUUCGAUGAUGUUGUUUAACGGCUUUUAUCUUCUUGGUCUUAUAUAUAGUUCUGAUAAGCUGCUUAGGUUGGAUGUUAUAUAUUUCGUGGUUUUGAUGAGCCGUUCUUUAAUGCAUUGUGUUUCUUGUAAGAAGUAAUGUGGUUCCUGGACGACUCGAUAGUUUGUGGUUUACUUCAAGUUUGUUUAUGGAGUAUUUCUUUUUGAGAUAUUUCGGUCUCUCUUUUCUAUUAAGCAAAGAGAUGGGUUAAAUUGAUCAAUGACCUUGAGUAUU
Camelina sativa (false flax) is the source of this 583-nucleotide non-coding RNA. The record is from RefSeq and is a predicted model, not a curated record. NCBI's taxonomy places the organism in Eukaryota, Viridiplantae, Streptophyta, Magnoliopsida, Brassicales, Brassicaceae.